AUUGAACGCUGGCGGCAGGCCUAACACAUGCAAGUCGAGCGGAGCGGCGGACGGGUGAGUAAUGACUAGGAAUCUGCCUGGUAGUGGUGGAUAACGUCCGGAAACGGGCGCUAUCUCCGCAUCCUAUCAGCUGAGCCUAGGUCGGAUUAGCUAGUUGGUGGGGUAAAGGCCUACCAAGGCGACGAUCCGUACCUGGUCUGAGAGGAGGAUCAGUCAGACUGGAACUGAGACACGGUCCAGACGCCUACGGGAGGCAGCAGUGGGGAAUAUUGGACAAUGGGCGAAAGCCUGAUCCAGCCAUGCCGCGUGUGUGAAGAAGGUCUUCGGAUUGUAAAGCACUUUAAGUUGGGAGGCGUUACCAACAGAAGAAGCACCGGCUAACUCCGUGCCAGCAGCCGCGGUAAUUC
This 407-nucleotide ribosomal RNA is filed under the name uncultured bacterium. RNAcentral's name for it is "partial 16S ribosomal RNA". It matches the Rfam family "Bacterial small subunit ribosomal RNA", at positions 30 to 526 of the family's 1533-position model. The record is from RNAcentral.